RNAcentral lists this long non-coding RNA (1100 nucleotides) under Astyanax mexicanus (Mexican tetra). RNAcentral's name for it is "lncRNA (ENSAMXG00005004967.1)". The record is from RNAcentral. Lineage: Eukaryota; Metazoa; Chordata; Actinopteri; Characiformes; Acestrorhamphidae.
CUGUCUGACAUACUGGGCUAAACAAUCUCAGACUAGUCAGGAGAGUCACAAAUUGGAUAAUUCCUGUGGAAAGACAUCUUAAAGGGUGGGAGAGCUUAAAGUAUUUUGCUUGGGGGCCCCAAAUGCAUUGAAAGGGCCCUUUUUUGCAGGAUAUGGUUUUGCAUUGUCUUUGAAAAUGGACAUUCCUGGAUGUUAGACACCACUAGAGGGCACUGUUCAGCUUACGCUCAGUCACUCAGCAGCAAGAGGGCUGUAAUUAGUUCUGAGAGCAGUUAGAAAUCAGUAAGGAACAGAACAUUAAAAAAUCUGUUUGCUGCCUUUUCCCUUCAAAUGUGUGUCUAUGAGAGAAAAGUGACUUUAUAUAUAUCAUAUAUCAUAUAUUUGACAGUACAUCUCAGGAUUUGACUGAGGAUAUCUUGCAUAUUGCCAAAAGUAAAAGCAAAAACACUUUUCUAAUGCAUCUGUGAUUUAAGAUAAAUCAUAAUUGGUACUGUUUACAAGUGCAUCUCAAAAGACCAGAAAAUAAUAAGGAAAAAAACUGUAAAAUAUUGUUUAGUAAACAGUCACCUUUUCUAUUAAUUAUGUUUAAACUGACAAGUUUAACACUUAUUUUUAUUUAAGGUUUUAAAUGAAAUAUUGUAGUAAACUGGGUUAAGGUUAGGAUUUAGUAUUUCUAGUUUUCAUGAGCUUUUAACCAAGUAAAACAAAAAUUAUUUGGAAUAUGUUACAUACAUGUAGUGUUUAUUAAAUUUGACAGACUUAAAUUAAAUUAUGAUAGCUAGUUUCUCAUGGUAUUUAGGUUCUCUGAGAUGCACUAGUAAUUCUGCCAAACAAGUCCAAUAAAUAUGAGAAUGUUUGAUGUUGUUGUUAGUUUUAUGUCAAUAUGAAAGUAGUAAAUAAUGAAUACCAAAAUAAAAAAAAAGUUUAAUACAAUCAUCAUUUUGAUCUUCCUUUUCUUAUACAGGAUAUUUUCUCCCAAAAAAAGAAAAGAUAAUAAAAGGGUUCAUCUUUCCAAACUGCACAAGCAGGCUUAAAGUAAACCCCUAUUUCAGGUAAUCUAUGCUGUGUUUCUUUGGUUUAUUUACAUGUGCAAUGUACUG